RNAcentral lists this ribosomal RNA (301 nucleotides) under uncultured bacterium. RNAcentral's name for it is "partial 16S ribosomal RNA". It matches the Rfam family "Bacterial small subunit ribosomal RNA", at positions 509 to 807 of the family's 1533-position model. The record is from RNAcentral.
CAGUAGCCACGGGAAUACGUAGGGCGCAAGCGUUAUCCGGAAUUAUUGGGCGUAAAGAGCUCGUAGGCGGUUUGUCGCGUCUGCCGUGAAAGUCCGGGGCUCAACCCCGGAUCCGCGGUGGGUACGGGCAGACUAGAGUGAUGUAGGGGAGACUGGAAUUCCUGGUGUAGCGGUGAAAUGCGCAGAUAUCAGGAGGAACACCGAUGGCGAAGGCAGGUCUCUGGGCAUUAACUGACGCUGAGGAGCGAAAGCAUGGGGAGCGAACAGGAUUAGAGACCCCGGUAGUCCCUGUCUCUUAUAC